UCGAGCGGAACGACACUAACAAUCCUUCGGGUGCGUUAAUGGGCGUCGAGCGGCGGACGGGUGAGUAAUGCCUAGGAAAUUGCCUUGAUGUGGGGGAUAACCAUUGGAAACGAUGGCUAAUACCGCAUAAUGCCUACGGGCCAAAGAGGGGGACCUUCGGGCCUCUCGCGUCAAGAUAUGCCUAGGUGGGAUUAGCUAGUUGGUGAGGUAAUGGCUCACCAAGGCGACGAUCCCUAGCUGGUCUGAGAGGAUGAUCAGCCACACUGGAACUGAGACACGGUCCAGACUCCUACGGGAGGCAGCAGUGGGGAAUAUUGCACAAUGGGCGAAAGCCUGAUGCAGCCAUGCCGCGUGUAUGAAGAAGGCCUUCGGGUUGUAAAGUACUUUCAGUUGUGAGGAAGGGGGUAGUGUUAAUAGCGCUAUCUCUUGACGUUAGCAACAGAGGAAGCACCGGCUAACUCCGUGCCAGCAGCCGCGGUAAUACGGAGGGUGCGAGCGUUAAUCGGAAUUACUGGGCGUAAAGCGCAUGCAGGGUGGUUCAUUAAGUCAGAUGUGAAAGCCCGGGGCUCAACCUCGGAACUGCAUUUGAAACUGGGUGAACUAGAAUACUGUAGAGGGGGGUAGAAUUUCAGGUGUAGCGGUGAAAUGCGUAUAGAUCUGAAGGAAUUACCAGUGGCGAUAGGGGCCCCCCUGGACAAAUACUGACACUUCAUAUGCGAAAUCGUGGGGAGCA
Molecule: ribosomal RNA, 733 nt
Filed under: Vibrio sp. AD40
Lineage: Bacteria; Pseudomonadati; Pseudomonadota; Gammaproteobacteria; Vibrionales; Vibrionaceae
Description: bacterial SSU rRNA
Rfam family: Bacterial small subunit ribosomal RNA
Source: RNAcentral